CAAUCUUUCUCUUCACGACUAGCUCUCUCGGUCUCUCACUCCCCUUCACGAAAGACAAAUCUGAGAAGGGCUUCACCGCAUUCGAGUCAAGGGUUUCUCUGAUUCAAGACGAAAUUUCUACAGUUGAAAUUUCUUGUUUCAAUCCGCGAAGAACAACGAAGGAGCUUUACGCUAUCGUCCUUCGUACAAUGUUUCCCCGGGAUCAAACAUACCCGUUAUCUGCAGAGAAGACGGCUCUGAUGGUGCAGUGGUCCUCCAAUGCAUGAAAUGGGGACUUAUUCCCAGUUUCACUAAGAAAACUGAGAAACCUGAUCACUAUAAGAUGUUUAAUGCUCGAUCUGAGUCCAUCAGUGAAAAGGCUUCUUUUCGUUGUCUUAUUCCUAAAAAUUGGUGCCUUGUUUCAGUAGAAGGGUAUGAGUACAUCUUUUGUUAACUGUCAGCUUCUCCUAAUUUAUGCAGCUGUUUUCACUUGAUAAUUCAUUGAAGUGGUUUCAGUUGACAAUAAACAUGACCCCUCUUACAAAUUUUGACAUUUUUCAGAUAUUCUAUGAA
Molecule: long non-coding RNA, 552 nt
Organism: Humulus lupulus (European hop)
Lineage: Eukaryota; Viridiplantae; Streptophyta; Magnoliopsida; Rosales; Cannabaceae
Exons: 3
Source: RefSeq, a predicted model, not a curated record